CGAGUGUAAUUUCUUCGCCGAGUGUAUUAUUGCGGGCACUCGGCGAAGGACCGGUUUGCCGAGUGCAUUCCUAGAAACACUCGGCAAAAAUAAUACACUCGGCGAAAACACGAUUUGCCGAGUGCCACCAAAAAAACACUCGGCAAACUCCCACGGGGCACUCGGCAAACAAAAUCCACUCGGCAAACACUUGAGCACGUGACUUCCACGUGCCGCGCUGGGCCGUCG
This 228-nucleotide long non-coding RNA is filed under the name Setaria italica (foxtail millet). RNAcentral's name for it is "long non-coding RNA (SITA_LNC002428)". Lineage: Eukaryota; Viridiplantae; Streptophyta; Magnoliopsida; Poales; Poaceae. The record is from RNAcentral.